Molecule: ribosomal RNA, 254 nt
Filed under: uncultured bacterium
Lineage: Bacteria
Description: partial 16S ribosomal RNA
Rfam family: Bacterial small subunit ribosomal RNA
Source: RNAcentral
UACGUAGGGGGCAAGCGUUAUCCGGAUUUAUUGGGCGUAAAGAGCUCGUAGGUGGUUCGGUAAGUCGGAUGUGAAAUCUCCAGGCUCAACCUGGAGGGGUCAUUCGAUACUGCCGUGACUAGAGUUCGGUAGGGGAGUGUGGAAUUCCUGGUGGAGCGGUGAAAUGCGCAGAUAUCAGGAGGAACACCCGUAGCGAAGGCGGCACUCUGGGCCGAUACUGACACUGAGGAGCGAAAGCGUGGGGAGCGAACAGG